AGUGAACGCUGGCGGUAGGCCUAACACAUGCAAGUCGAACGGCAGCACAGUAAGAGCUUGCUCUUACGGGUGGCGAGUGGCGGACGGGUGAGGAAUACAUCGGAAUCUACUUUUUCGUGGGGGAUAACGUAGGGAAACUUACGCUAAUACCGCAUACGACCUACGGGUGAAAGCAGGGGAUCUUCGGACCUUGCGCGAUUGAAUGAGCCGAUGUCGGAUUAGCUAGUUGGCGGGGUAAAGGCCCACCAAGGCGACGAUCCGUAGCUGGUCUGAGAGGAUGAUCAGCCACACUAGAACUGAGACACGGUCCAGACUCCUACGGGAGGCAGCAGUGGGGAAUAUUGGACAAUGGGCGCAAGCCUGAUCCAGCCAUACCGCGUGGGUGAAGAAGGCCUUCGGGUUGUAAAGCCCUUUUGUUGGGAAAGAAAAGCAGCAGGUUAAUACCCCGAUGUUCUGACGGUACCCAAAGAAUAAGCACCGGCUAACUUCGUG
Molecule: ribosomal RNA, 492 nt
Filed under: uncultured bacterium
Lineage: Bacteria
Description: partial 16S ribosomal RNA
Rfam family: Bacterial small subunit ribosomal RNA
Source: RNAcentral